UAACAUAAUAACUCUUCGGCUGAGUGAUUAACAAACCUUCCGCGCCGCUAAAUAAUUCGGUUGUCGGUUAUGGCCGCGACGCAGGUGCGGAACAACGUGAAAGAUGCUCUAGGCAGAGCCUCUGGCUGUUCGUGGAAAGCAAACUGCAGUGCGUAGGUAGCUGAAAUACAGUAUCGCAGCAGGAAGUGGAGCAAACAGUUCACAGGGUGAUGAAAGGGUCACUUCAACUACAAUAAAAUAGUUCUAUGGAAGA
Molecule: long non-coding RNA, 253 nt
Organism: Micropterus dolomieu (smallmouth bass)
Lineage: Eukaryota; Metazoa; Chordata; Actinopteri; Centrarchiformes; Centrarchidae
Exons: 2
Source: RefSeq, a predicted model, not a curated record